AACGCUGGCGGCGUGCUUAACACAUGCAAGUCGAACGGAAAGGCCCUGCUUUUGUGGGGUGCUCGAGUGGCGAACGGGUGAGUAACACGUGAGUAACCUGCCCUUGACUUUGGGAUAACUUCAGGAAACUGGGGCUAAUACCGGAUAGGAGCUCCUGCUGCAUGGUGGGGGUUGGAAAGUUUCGGCGGUUGGGGAUGGACUCGCGGCUUAUCAGCUUGUUGGUGGGGUAGUGGCUUACCAAGGCUUUGACGGGUAGCCGGCCUGAGAGGGUGACCGGCCACAUUGGGACUGAGAUACGGCCCAGACUCCUACGGGAGGCAGCAGUGGGGAAUAUUGCACAAUGGGCGGAAGCCUGAUGCAGCAACGCCGCGUGCGGGAUGACGGCCUUCGGGUUGUAAACCGCUUUCGCCUGUGACGAAGCGUGAGUGACGGUAAUGGGUAAAGAAGCACCGGCUAACUACGUGCCAGCAGCCGCGGUGAUACGUAGGGUGCGAGCGUUGUCCGGAUUUAUUGGGCGUAAAGGGCUCGUAGGUGGUUGAUCGCGUCGGAAGUGUAAUCUUGGGGCUUAACCCUGAGCGUGCUUUCGAUACGGGUUGACUUGAGGAAGGUAGGGGAGAAUGGAAUUCCUGGUGGAGCGGUGGAAUGCGCAGAUAUCAGGAGGAACACCAGUGGCGAAGGCGGUUCUCUGGGCCUUUCCUGACGCUGAGGAGCGAAAGCGUGGGGAGCGAACAGGCUUAGAUACCCUGGUAGUCCACGCUGUAAACGGUGGGUACUAGGUGUGGGGUCCAUUCCACGGGUUCCGUGCCGUAGCUAACGCUUUAAGUACCCCGCCUGGGGAGUACGGCCGCAAGGCUAAAACUCAAAGGAAUUGACGGGGCCCCGCACAAGCGGCGGAGCAUGCGGAUUAAUUCGAUGCAACGCGUAGAACCUUACCUGGGUUUGACAUGGAUCGGGAGUGCUCAGAGAUGGGUGUGCCUCUUUUGGGGUCGGUUCACAGGUGGUGCAUGGCUGUCGUCAGCUCGUGUCGUGAGAUGUUGGGUUAAGUCCCGCAACGAGCGCAACCCUUGUUCACUGUUGCCAGCACGUUAUGGUGGGGACUCAGUGGAGACCGCCGGGGUCAACUCGGAGGAAGGUGGGGAUGACGUCAAGUCAUCAUGCCCCUUAUGUCCAGGGCUUCACGCAUGCUACAAUGGCUGGUACAGAGAGUGGCGAGCCUGUGAGGGUGAGCGAAUCUCGGAAAGCCGGUCUCAGUUCGGAUUGGGGUCUGCAACUCGACCUCAUGAAGUCGGAGUCGCUAGUAAUCGCAGAUCAGCAACGCUGCGGUGAAUACGUUCCCGGGGCUUGUACACACCGCCCGUCAAGUCAUGAAAGUUGGUAACACCCGAAGCCGGUGGCCUAACCGUUGUGGGGGAGCCGUCGAAGGUGGGACUGAUGAUUAGG
Molecule: ribosomal RNA, 1440 nt
Filed under: uncultured organism
Description: 16S ribosomal RNA
Rfam family: Bacterial small subunit ribosomal RNA
Source: RNAcentral